CCGUCAGGAUGAACGCUGGCGGCGUGCUUAACACAUGCAAGUCGAACGAUGAUCUCCAGCUUGCUGGGGGGAUUAGUGGCGAACGGGUGAGUAACACGUGAGUAACCUGCCCUUGACUCUGGGAUAAGCCUGGGAAACUGGGUCUAAUACCGGAUACGACCGUCCCGCGCAUGCGGUGGUGGUGGAAAGCUUUUGCGGUUUUGGAUGGACUCGCGGCCUAUCAGCUUGUUGGUGGGGUAAUGGCCUACCAAGGCGACGACGGGUAGCCGGCCUGAGAGGGUGACCGGCCACACUGGGACUGAGACACGGCCCAGACUCCUACGGGAGGCAGCAGUGGGGAAUAUUGCACAAUGGGCGAAAGCCUGAUGCAGCGACGCCGCGUGAGGGAUGACGGCCUUCGGGUUGUAAACCUCUUUCAGUAGGGAAGAAGCGAAAGUGACGGUACCUGCAGAAGAAGCGCCGGCUAACUACGUGCCAGCAGCCGCGGUAAUACGUAGGGCGCAAGCGUUAUCCGGAAUUAUUGGGCGUAAAGAGCUCGUAGGCGGUUUGUCGCGUCUGCUGUGAAAGACCGGGGCUCAACUCCGGUUCUGCAGUGGGUACGGGCAGACUAGAGUGAUGUAGGGGAGACUGGAAUUCCUGGUGUAGCGGUGAAAUGCGCAGAUAUCAGGAGGAACACCGAUGGCGAAGGCAGGUCUCUGGGCAUUAACUGACGCUGAGGAGCGAAAGCAUGGGGAGCGAACAGGAUUAGAUACCCUGGUAGUCCAUGCCGUAAACGUUGGGCACUAGGUGUGGGGGACAUUCCACGUUUUCCGCGCCGUAGCUAACGCAUUAAGUGCCC
RNAcentral lists this ribosomal RNA (838 nucleotides) under Arthrobacter sp. Its description in RNAcentral is "bacterial SSU rRNA". It matches the Rfam family "Bacterial small subunit ribosomal RNA", at positions 21 to 869 of the family's 1533-position model. Lineage: Bacteria; Bacillati; Actinomycetota; Actinomycetes; Micrococcales; Micrococcaceae. The record is from RNAcentral.